Molecule: transfer RNA, 76 nt
Filed under: Leifsonia xyli
Lineage: Bacteria; Bacillati; Actinomycetota; Actinomycetes; Micrococcales; Microbacteriaceae
Also listed under: 1 other name
Description: tRNA-Val
Rfam family: tRNA
About the family: Transfer RNA (tRNA) molecules are approximately 80 nucleotides in length. Their secondary structure includes four short double-helical elements and three loops (D, anti-codon, and T loops).
Source: RNAcentral
GGGCUCUUAGCUCAGUUGGUAGAGCACUUCGCUUACACCGAAGUGGUCGGCGGUUCGAGCCCGCCAGAGCCCACCG